CCUACGGGGAGCAGCAGUGGGGAAUAUUGCACAAUGGGGGAAACCCUGAUGCAGCGACGCCGCGUGAGUGAAGAAGUAAUUCGUUAUGUAAAGCUCUAUCAGCAGGGAAGAAAAUGACGGUACCUGAGUAAGAAGCCCCGGCUAACUACGUGCCAGCAGCCGCGGUAAUAAGUAGGGGGCAAGCGUUAUCCGGAUUUACUGGGUGUAAAGGGAGCGUAGACGGCAGUGCAAGUCUGGAGUGAAAGGCGGGGGCUCAACCCCCGGACUGCUCUGGAAACUGUACGGCUGGAGUGCAGGAGAGGUAAGUGGAAUUCCUAGUGUAGCGGUGAAAUGCGUAGAUAUUAGGAGGAACACCAGUGGCGAAGGCGGCUUACUGGACUGUAACUGACGUUGAGGCUCGAAAGCGUGGGGAGCAAACAGGAUUAGAUACCCGAGUAGUC
This 440-nucleotide ribosomal RNA is filed under the name uncultured bacterium. RNAcentral describes it as "partial 16S ribosomal RNA". It matches the Rfam family "Bacterial small subunit ribosomal RNA", at positions 338 to 795 of the family's 1533-position model. The record is from RNAcentral.